RNAcentral lists this transfer RNA (74 nucleotides) under Onchidium reevesii. Its description in RNAcentral is "tRNA-Glu". The record is from RNAcentral. Lineage: Eukaryota; Metazoa; Mollusca; Gastropoda; Systellommatophora; Onchidiidae.
GUUAAAGUAGUUAAACAAACUAUAUAACAUUACCUUUUCAAGGUGAAAUAGAAUUUUAAAUGAUUCCUUUAAUU